Megalobrama amblycephala (Wuchang bream) is the source of this 1374-nucleotide long non-coding RNA. RefSeq lists it as uncharacterized. The transcript is spliced from 6 exons. Lineage: Eukaryota; Metazoa; Chordata; Actinopteri; Cypriniformes; Xenocyprididae. The record is from RefSeq and is a predicted model, not a curated record.
GCUAACACUCCAGGCUAGUGGCUGGAACAAGCGAAAGGCAGAAAACCUUGACCGGACACUGGCCAAAAGAUACAUCAAGACUGUACAAAGGAUUGCAGAGGCAACAAAGGACCUGGAGAAACUCACAGCUGAGUUAUCUCUACAGCAAGACACAGUCCAGCAGUGGGUGACUGAUGUUCAGCAGUGGACCUCAGGACCAACAAUCCAAAAUGACUUGCAGAGGACCAUUGAGGGGCUAUAUCUGGGCAGCGAAAAUUUCAGCUGUAUCGUCAGUCUGGUGGGAACAAGCGAAGGCAUCAACUGAGAAGAAAGAUUGCUGUUGAGAAGAAAGUCUUGGAAGUUGCCAUCAAUGACCACAAUGCUACUGUAGGGGAAGCUGAAAAACUGCCUUCUCCCAAUAAACUCCUGGCUGUGGACAACUACUCCUGGCCAUGGGAAUGUAAUGGUGAUAUGGAGCGGGAAAAAAAAUGUUUUUGACAAGGUGAUGCUACUGGCUAGACUGAAAGAAGAAGAAUUUAUUGUGGUUCGCGAAGUCAAGCAGCACAUGGAGUACAUGAAGAGUUUACCUUUCAGCUCACUGAAGACACCAAUGGAAAAUGCAGUACAGAAGGCUUAAUGGAGAACGGACGUGAGGGACUACUCUGUGUGCUGAAGAGAAGAUUGUGUGAAGUUGCAGCACAACUGGCUACAGCACGCACAACAUACAAAAGUAUUCUUGGACUGCAAACAUUGCCCUUAGAUGACUUUUCUGAAGAGGAAGACUCAGAGAAUACUUCCUCAACUGAUGAGGAACUGGGAGAGUAGUUAUUAGGGAGAUGAUGUGUAUGACUCUAAGAAGAUGUCUUCACAUUGUGUUGAACCCAUCAGUGCUGUGUUAACUUGUAUGUGAAACCUAAGGUUAUUUUACUGCUGUUGUACGAUUUCUUUGUGUUUAGAGAAUGUACUGCAAAUUCCUCUCAUCCCCAUUAAUCCCCACCCUCUGCCCCAACCCAAUCACUGGUGAUUCACAACUGUCAAACAUGUUUUUUUUUUUUUUUUAUUUAGCAUUACAUUUUUAAUCGUUUUGUAUUGAACAUCCCUACAUAGCUUCGCUAUAGUUUGUAUAUAUUGUACCUACUGUAGUUUACAUUGUCUAUUGUAUUGUUACUCUCUCCAACAGUGUGCUACUCUAGCUUAUUUUUCCACACAUUAGUAUAUUAAUACUCACUCUCUGUCUCUUACACACUCACGCUCUCUCUCACUCGCUCACACACGCACACAGACACCCCUACCUAUCUGAAGAUAUAUAGUCUUUAUUUUGAACAGGGCAUAGUCUCUUAGCUCUAAAAAGCCUACAUUAUUUAUUUCACCCAGUAAAGUGAACUGUUUCAAUUA